UACGAAGGGAGCUAGCGUUGUUCGGAAUUACUGGGCGUAAAGGGCGCGUAGGCGGUCUUAUAAGUUUGGUGUGAAAGCCCUGGGCUUAACCUAGGAACAGCAUUGAAUACUGUAAGACUUGAGACCGAGAGAGGGAAAUGGAAUUGCGAGUGUAGAGGUGAAAUUCGUAGAUAUUCGCAAGAACACCAGUGGCGAAGGCGAUUUCCUGGCUCGGUACUGACGCUAAGGCGCGAAAGCGUGGGGAGCAAACAGG
This 253-nucleotide ribosomal RNA is filed under the name uncultured bacterium. Its description in RNAcentral is "partial 16S ribosomal RNA". It matches the Rfam family "Bacterial small subunit ribosomal RNA", at positions 524 to 776 of the family's 1533-position model. The record is from RNAcentral.